RNAcentral lists this signal recognition particle RNA (98 nucleotides) under Campylobacter avium LMG 24591. RNAcentral describes it as "Bacterial small signal recognition particle RNA". It matches the Rfam family "Bacterial small signal recognition particle RNA". Rfam says of the family: The signal recognition particle (SRP) is a universally conserved ribonucleoprotein involved in the co-translational targeting of proteins to membranes. Archaeal SRP consists of a 7S RNA and homologues of the eukaryotic SRP19 and SRP54 proteins. RNAcentral also lists the same sequence under 1 other name. The record is from Rfam by way of RNAcentral. Lineage: Bacteria; Pseudomonadati; Campylobacterota; Epsilonproteobacteria; Campylobacterales; Campylobacteraceae.
UUUUCAGACCUGUGCAAUGGUUUUUUAAGACAUCGCUUCAGGGUGGGAACACAGCAGAGCACCUUAACUUUCCGUGUGCCACAGCAAAUCUGAGAGAG